Molecule: ribosomal RNA, 500 nt
Filed under: uncultured bacterium
Lineage: Bacteria
Description: partial 16S ribosomal RNA
Rfam family: Bacterial small subunit ribosomal RNA
Source: RNAcentral
AUUGAACGCUGGCGGCAGGCCUAACACAUGCAAGUCGAGCGGGUGAGAGGAGCUUGCUCCUUGAUUUAGCGGCGGACGGGCGAGUAAUGCCUAGGAAUCUGCCUAGUGGUGGGGGAUAACGUUCCGAAAGGAACGCUAAUACCGCAUACGUCCUACGGGAGAAAGCGGGGGAUCUUCGGACCUCGCGCCAUUAGAUGAGCCUAGGUCGGAUUAGCUAGUUGGUGAGGUAAAGGCUCCCCAAGGCGACGAUCCGUAACUGGUCUGAGUGGAUGAGCAGUCACACUGGAAUUGAGACACGGUCCAGACUCCUACGGGAGGCAGCAGUGGGGAAUAUUGGACAAUGGGCGAAAGACUGAUCCAGCCGUGCCGCGUGUGUGAAGAAGGUCUUCGGAUUGUAAAGCACUUUAAGUUGGGAGGAAGGGUAUUCACCUAAUACGUGAGUAUUUUGACGUUACCGACAGAAUAAGCACCGGCUAACUUCGUGCCAGCCGCCGCCGUAA